UCAGCCACUUCAUUCUGGCUGUUAGUGAACUUGAGUAGCACCCUGGGAUGCUGAGGCCCUGGGCCAGGUGACUUGGCUUUAAACCCCCAUUGGGGGGACCUGGGCAGGUCUCCUGUCUCUCUGAACCUCUCUUUUCCACUAAGUGGAGGGUGGACCCUCCACCUCAUAAGGUUCUCCUUAGCAGAAUGUGGCUGGUGCCCUGAGGCUGUGGGAGAUGCUGCUUCCUGUUGUGGAAACUCAGACAUUUCCAGCAUCUUCUUAACAGUAGUCAGAGCUACAAGGAAGCUGUGGCUGUAGCAGGAGCCCUGGCACUUGGUAAAUAAGUUGCUGCCUAAACCCAGCAAAUCACUCUUGACAGGCACCAAGAAAGUGUAACCUGCUUGGGCCCAUUUUUUUUUAAAGCAAAACGGAAGAGUCAUUACACAAAUAUCAUAGAACAGUUAGGAAUAUCUUUAUGGUAAGCUGAAAGAAAAACCAUUCCCCUUCCUACCCUCCAGAAUAAAUGUUGUCAUUCAGUUACUAAGUCAUGUAACUUUGAGAGCCCACGGACUGCAGCAUGCCAGGCUCCCCUGUCCUCCACUAUCUCCUGGAGUUUGCUCAAAUUCAUGUCCAUUGAGUCAGUGAUGCUAUCUAACCAUCUCAUCCUCUGCUGCCCCCUUCUUUUUGCUGUCAGUAUUUCCCAGCAUCAGGGAAAUACUGAAUAUGUCAGCACCAGAAUAAAUACUGUUAUAUUUUUUUCCAGACCUUUUUCUAUGAUGGUACAGAGUAUAUUUUGCAAGCAUUGUAUCAUACCAUGGCAUCCUGUUUUAUUAGAAUCUGCUCUGCACUAAACUAUAUGUUGUAAGCAUCUUUUCUGUGCCUGUGUCUUGUUGUUGUACCUGGUGUAUAGUACUCCAUCGUGGGCUGUAUCAUGCUUUUAAGCCCCGAUUGCUGGGCAUUUGGGUUUGUGUCAGUUCCGAUUCUUUAGCUACAAAUAAUAGAAACCAACACUUUCUAACUUAAGCAAGAAAAAUUAAUAAUAACAAUACAGUAUUAGAAUGCCUUGGAGUGGCUCAGGAGAGAACAGCCAGACCUCAAGAAGGACAGGAAAGAAGAUGUUGCCAGGGGUCCAGGUUGCAAGAAUCAGGGGGCAGCCUCCCCAGGCACCACCACCAGUACGGGUGAAUCCAAAUGUUAGCUCCAGAUUCUACUGUGUCUCCCUUCAAGGACGCGAGCUUCCAAACAGCCUGACCUGGGUCACGUGCCCCUAGCCAAGGGGAAGGCAAGGCAUCUUGACCACCCCAUGCAAUGGGCAACGGGCUGUUCCCUGGAGAAAAAAUGAGGUUUGCUACCAAAACGACACAUCUGUCUGCUGACAAGGCAAAAACAGCAGGACUGUUCUUAGGUCGGGCUUUGAUUCUUCUCAGCAUUAUAAAGAGAGUUAUGAAAGCACACUGACCCUUUCCCCUUUUCCCAGGUCCAACCCCUUGGAGUCAAUUCCUGGGGUGUCUCUCAUGGCAGAGCCACUUAGCAGUUCCCCAAGGCCCCAGGCUUCCCUGCUGGGCCCAUGUCGCUGCCCCCCUCUCCUCCCCACAGCAUUCUUAUCUUCUGCAUUAUA
Molecule: long non-coding RNA, 1597 nt
Filed under: Bos grunniens (domestic yak)
Lineage: Eukaryota; Metazoa; Chordata; Mammalia; Artiodactyla; Bovidae
Description: lncRNA (ENSBGRG00000008460.1)
Source: RNAcentral